This 453-nucleotide ribosomal RNA is filed under the name Triticum aestivum (bread wheat). RNAcentral's name for it is "partial small subunit ribosomal RNA". Lineage: Eukaryota; Viridiplantae; Streptophyta; Magnoliopsida; Poales; Poaceae. The record is from RNAcentral.
AUGGGCGACGGGAUGGCUCCUCAGGUGGAUGGGGUGGACGGAAGGUUAAGAAAUCUCAAGCUCACAGACGCAGAAAAGAAAAGCAUCAAGAUAGGGAAGAAACAGUCUUGCUCCCCGGAGGUGAGUAAGCUUCAGGCUGUGGGUAAGCUCUUGUCUGAAAAACCAGCAAAAGCAGAGUAUUUAGGAAGAGCGUUAAGUGGUGCUUGGUGCCCUUUCUCUAGGGUGGAAUGCAAGGGUCUGGGUAGAAAUCGCUUCCUGUUUCAGUUUCAUGAUGAUGUGAGCAAGAACAAAGCAAUAAGAGGUGGACCCUGGAUGUUUAACAAAGAUUUACUGGUGAUGGAAGAUUUUGUGCCAAGCAAAACUAUAGAUGACUAUGAAUUUAAGUCGAUUCCUAUAUGGGUGAGAGCAUAUGGCAUACCAAUGGGAAUGAUGAGCACAGAAACAGGGGAACUA